GCUGAAGUGGUUAAACAUGAACGGGCCAAAGCGCACAUGGCAGCAGGUCAAAAUCAAAUACAAGAACAUUCUGCAGAAUGCAGUGAAAAAGAAUACCCACAGACAAGGCACGGGUGGUGGGUCACCAAAGGCUGACCUUACCCCAGCAGAGGACAUGGCCUUGGAGCUAAAUAAAGGCAGGCCCGUCUUAGAGGGGAUCCCUGGGGGGAAAGAGACGAGCAUAGGUUCCUCCCAAGAUGCCACCCGCUUCAUUCAAGUGUCUGGCAGCACUGUGUUCCUGUUAGAGCCACCAGCACAAGCACCAGACGAUGCUGAUCCAGUGAGUACUCCAUCAAAGGCAUACUGUAGGCCUGGCAUGUCUUGUCUACUAGCUUCAAUAUGAAUCCGAUUAAAUGUGAUCGGGUGAAAGCCCCAGUGCAGCAGCAACAGCACAUGAUGGAGACGAUGAUGAGGAGGAGACCAUCUCUCUGGAUUCCAGAAGGCAUGAGGACCCAGAUGCUAUACAGUGGGAAAACCAGCCUGGCAACAUAAGCUCACAAGCUAUCAGAAAGUUGUAUGGCAACCACCUCCGGCGCCAAAUAGAACUGGCAGACAUAGACAUUCAGUACAAGAAGAAAAAGAUGGAAAAUCUUGCACUGGAGUCCGAAAUAAAAAAGAGGACAAUUAGGAAACUGGACCUUGAAAUAAAAAAAACUUGAGAGGGAGCUCCAAGAAGAUGACACAGCUCAAAAUAAAAAUUAGCAAUCAGUACAACCAAGUCAUCGUUAUAAGGCACCGGCAUCUUUUGCCCACCCCCCCAGCACCAGGUGUGGCCACUAGCCUAUAUGAAGGCCCAAAAUUGUGUGUUCCUUUCUGCUCUGAC
This is a long non-coding RNA of Carassius carassius (crucian carp), 862 nucleotides long. RefSeq lists it as uncharacterized. NCBI's taxonomy places the organism in Eukaryota, Metazoa, Chordata, Actinopteri, Cypriniformes, Cyprinidae. The record is from RefSeq and is a predicted model, not a curated record. The transcript has 7 exons.